GAGGAUAUAGCUCAGUGGUAGAGCCCAUGCUUAGCAUGUAUGAGGUCCUGGGUUCAAUUCCCAGCACCUCCA
RNAcentral lists this transfer RNA (72 nucleotides) under Camelus bactrianus (Bactrian camel). It matches the Rfam family "tRNA". From Rfam's summary of the family: Transfer RNA (tRNA) molecules are approximately 80 nucleotides in length. Their secondary structure includes four short double-helical elements and three loops (D, anti-codon, and T loops). Further hydrogen bonds mediate the characteristic L-shaped molecular structure. tRNAs have two regions of fundamental functional importance: the anti-codon, which is responsible for specific mRNA codon recognition, and the 3' end, to which the tRNAs corresponding amino acid is attached (by aminoacyl-tRNA synthetases). tRNAs cope with the degeneracy of the genetic code in two manners: having more than one tRNA (with a specific anti-codon) for a particular amino acid; and 'wobble' base-pairing, i.e. permitting non-standard base-pairing at the 3rd anti-codon position. Lineage: Eukaryota; Metazoa; Chordata; Mammalia; Artiodactyla; Camelidae. The record is from Rfam by way of RNAcentral. RNAcentral also lists the same sequence under 1 other name.